UAGGGAAUAUUGGACAAUGGGGGCAACCCUGAUCCAGCCAUGCCGCGUGAGUGUAGAAGGCCCUCGGGUUGUAAAGCUCUUUUGUCCGGAAAGAAAAGCUUCGGGUUAAUACCCCGGGGUUCUGACGGUACCGGAAGAAUAAGCACCGGCUAACUUCGUGCCAGCAGCCGCGGUAAUACGAAGGGUGCAAGCGUUACUCGGAAUUACUGGGCGUAAAGCGUGCGUAGGUGGUUGUUUAAGUCUGAUGUGAAAGCCCUGGGCUCAACCGGGGAAUGGCAUUGGAAACUGGGCAGCUAGAGUGCGGUAGAGGGUAGUGGAAUUCCCGGUGUAGCAGUGAAAUGCGUAGAGAUCGGGAGGAACAGCUGUGGCGAAGGCGACUGCCUGGACCAGCACUGACACUGAGGCACGAAAGCGUGGGGAGCAAACA
RNAcentral lists this ribosomal RNA (427 nucleotides) under uncultured bacterium. RNAcentral's name for it is "bacterial SSU rRNA". It matches the Rfam family "Bacterial small subunit ribosomal RNA", at positions 355 to 774 of the family's 1533-position model. The record is from RNAcentral.